CUUCAAGCCAUCAAAAACUCAGUCUCUCUUCAUUAGCAAAAGCAUUUGGCGAAAAACUUCGAUUCGUUUCUCUAAAAUCACUCUCCAAUGUCGAUCUUUGAGUAUAAUGGAAGUGCUUUGGUUGCGAUGGUUGGGAAAAACUGUUUCGCUAUUGCGAGUGAUAGGCGUUUUGGAGUACAGCUGCAGACAAUCGCUACUGAUUUCCAGAGGAUUUAUAAAAUACAUGACAAGCUUUUUAUUGGACUUUCUGGCUUGGCUACUGAUACUCAAACACUGCAUCAACGCCUCAUGUUCCGUCACAAGCUAUAUGAGCUUAGAGAAGAUAGGGAUAUGAAGCCCGAGACCUUUGCCAGUCUUGUAUCUGCUAUGCUUUAUGAGAAAAGG
This 384-nucleotide unclassified non-coding RNA is filed under the name Hevea brasiliensis (rubber tree). The record is from RNAcentral. Lineage: Eukaryota; Viridiplantae; Streptophyta; Magnoliopsida; Malpighiales; Euphorbiaceae.